GACAGGAUUUGGGGCCAACCUAUAAGUGCUGAGUGGUGGAGGUGCCAAAGGGAAGGAGGAUGGAUCCAGAGAUGGAGGGAGCAGCCAUUCCAAGGCAUGAAUCAUUGCUCUGAACCACCCUCUUUGGUGGAGGCCACCUCUCCUUCUUCCCACAGCCCGUAGAGGGAGCUGAUGCUGCUUUCAGUCAUCCAGCAUGACAUCUGGCCUCGGUGCUUGCAUAAGAGUGGGAGGCCCAAAUACCUGCGUGGCUUGGGCAUUUUGGAGCCACCCGGGAGGCCUUUGGCCUCUCCUUGCCGUGCAGCUCUUGCAGCAGCUCAUCGUGUUGGGGCAGAGGGUGAGAUAAGGUAACUGGAGGCGUUACAGGUGCAUUUCAACAUCUCUUCAGACUGUCCUCCCCGGGGUUCCCCUCUCUGUUUGGGUUUCCCUCCUCAUCCAAUCAACAGAUGAGCUAUCAAUGGCAUCUCUUGGAGGACUCGGGUCUAAGAAGAGGAGCUUUUCUAGACCCCAGGCGUGGAAAGAUGAGUGAUGUUUUGAAUAUCAUCCCUGCUGGAGUGUGAUGAGGUUCCCUCAGACAUGCAUAGCUGCUGAGAACACUCAGGUUGAGACAUGAUGUAGCAGUCCCAGGAGCCCUUCCAGCAGAUUCCUCUUGGGCCAGUGUGCAGGGCAGUGAGCUGGGGCUGUCCAAGCUGGGGCUGUCCAAGCUGGCAGCAGAAGCUGAGCCAAACCAGCUGUUCCUAGGGACCAACAUCCCUGGGGACAAAGGUCUUCCCCAGGCUCCUUGGGGACUGCUCCUCUAGACUCUUCCACUUGCUGAUGCUUUGCUGUUCUCAGCGAGCAGUGAGAACUGUGAGGAGGGAAGGGCAGACAUCAAAAGCUCAAUGGGAGCAUCCAAAAGUUCAUCUGGAGCACACAGACCUUCAGCGUUCGUAACGGGAAGCUGGAGAGAUUUCAAGGACUCUCAUCCCACCUCCUGGCGCUUCUGUUUCUGGUUAGGGCCAGACAUAACCACAAGAACAAGCUUUCUCACGGUGUUUCAGCACAUUUCCUGUUGGUCCUGGAAGAACAUUUGAAAUUAAGAGGACAUCUAGCCUUUGUAGAACCACAAAGACUCUGUUUUGGAGAGAGGUUCAGGCUCUGAGUCCUGGCGAGGGGUGAGUUUUGCUGUCUUGAGCCACUUUGUGCCAUUCCCAACUACUAAGUGCCCCCCUGACCAAAAGGGAAGAGUUGAUUUCAUGUUCUGGAGAAAUCAGUCAUGGUCCUGCUGUGUUCCAGUGCCGUGGGAGCAAUCCUGGGAUGCUUCAGGAGACUGGGAUGGAGCAGCCUUGUGCAAUGGGUGAUUCUGGAGCCUGCAGAGGGUCAGAGGUUAAAGAGCACCCCAGCACAGAAGCUCAGACAACCAGCUCAGGAGUGUUGGGACACAUCAACAGAGAAGGAUCAAACCCACAGAGCUGGGCUGGAAUUUAACCCCAUCUUGCUGCAAAGCACAGGAGGGACCUGCUGGGAUCCUGGAUCCAGGUCGGACACAGCCCAGCACGGAGAGGAGCUGCACAUGUCCUCGGCCCAUCUGCCUUUGAUCUUCAGCUCUGUCAGGAGAGAUGCUGUGGAGGAAUCUGGCCCGUCAGGCUUUUGCCCCUCCUCAGUCUCCCCCCACUGCCCUUUGAGCUCUGAAAACUGCAAGUUUGGAAAUGAGCCUUGGUCACAAAAUCGCCCACGUCCUUCCAGCUGCAAACCUUCCCCCCCUGGGAGCCCCGAGGGUGCUGAGCUGGUCCCAGGAGUGAUGCCAUCACCACAGCCCAGGAAAGCUGGAGCUGAGCUCAGGCAGACGCCCUGGCACGAGGCCACGGGUGGCAGGAGGUUGCCCAGGCAGGAGGACAGGACAGCUGGAGGACAUCAAGGAGCCUGAAUUGGGGCUACAACCUGAGAUAAACCUAAUUUUCCUCCUCUUCUUCCUGGCAGCCCCUUAAGGCUGGGUCUUGGAGAUGCUUUCAAGCACCUCAUGUCUGGAGGUGGCCCCUCAGCAUCUCCCACCCAUCCCUCUGCUGUGGUGGAGCUCGUGCUUUCCAGGCUCGUGGCAGAAAUAAACCCAAAAGGUGAAGGAAAAUGUGCCCUAGUUGUGCUGGAGGUUGUCUGAAAAUCUUCCUUCCAGCCCUGGGUCCUCUGAGCUCUUCUCUAUCUCUGGUGAUCCAAAGCUGCCUUGAAACCAACACCCCCACCCAGCCCAUGAUGGUGAUCACCCAGUCCCAGCUCCCCAAAAUUAGGUCUGUUGUCCAUGUUUCCCAACAGCAAGGUGACCUGGUGGGGUGAUAGCUGGACCAUGCAGGUGAAUCUGCAGGUCAUGGUACCAGGAUCUCAAGUAGUUUCCCAAUCUAGCUCCUGUGGGCUGGAGAAAGACUCACUUCCCACCUCAAAUGCUCUUCAGAGCACCCAAAUGUAUUAAUGUUGGUAUUAAACCUUUCUUCUCUGCCAGAUUUUCCUACCUAAGCUGAGUUUCCACAGAAGAGCCAGAGGUUGGAAGGCUCAGCAAGGCUGGUGGUGUCUUCUUUGCAGAAGGGAGAGCCCUGGGUGGCAGGAGAGGGUUGUGUGUCACUUCCAUAAUGAGGAUGGUUCCGGGGGGAGGAAAAAUGAUCUCCCAGCACAGAGUCUUCACCACCAACAAGAAAUGGCUGCUUGGGGACACUGCUUUUCCUGGAAGCA
Molecule: long non-coding RNA, 2694 nt
Organism: Apus apus (common swift)
Lineage: Eukaryota; Metazoa; Chordata; Aves; Apodiformes; Apodidae
Exons: 7
Source: RefSeq, a predicted model, not a curated record